UUACCAGACUCCUACGGGAGGCAGCAGUGAGGAAUAUUGGUCAAUGGCCGCAGGGCUGAACCAGCCAAGUCGCGUGAGGGAUGACGGUCCUAUGGAUUGUAAACCUCUUUUGUCAGGGAGCAAAGGGCGCCACGUGUGGCGUUUUGCGAGUACCUGAAGAAAAAGCAUCGGCUAACUCCGUGCCAGCAGCCGCGGUAAUACGUAGGGGGCGAGCGUUAUCCGGAAUUACUGGGUGUAAAGGGAGCGUAGACGGCGAGGUAAGCCUGAAGUGGAAGCCCGCGGCCCAACCGCGGAACUGCUUUGGGAACUGUUUUGCUGGAGUAUGGGAGGGGUAAGCGGAAUUCCUGGUGUAGCGGUGAAAUGCGUAGAUAUCAGGAGGAACACCGGUGGCGAAGGCGGCUUACUGGACCAUAACUGACGUUGAGGCUCGAAAGCGUGGGGAGCGAACAGGAUUAGAUACCCUAGUA
Molecule: ribosomal RNA, 467 nt
Filed under: uncultured bacterium
Lineage: Bacteria
Description: bacterial SSU rRNA
Rfam family: Bacterial small subunit ribosomal RNA
Source: RNAcentral